UGUCACUAUGUUGCCCAGGCUGCUCUAGAACUCCUGGGCUCAAGUGAUCCUCCUGCCUCUGCCUUCCAAAGUGUUGGGAUUACAGGCAUGAACCACCAUGGCUAGUUUAAAUGGUUUUUCAGGGUCACAUAUCUCGGAAGAUAUGUGGGAUGUAAACCCAGCAGCCUGGCCCCAGAGCCCAUGGUCUUCAUGGCAGCAGCAUGUGUGCCGCCUCUCAUGUGUACAAGUGAAUGAAGAAUGAAAGAGAGUUGCACUCUCACCAAUGACCAGCUGCCUUCUGG
Molecule: long non-coding RNA, 281 nt
Filed under: Homo sapiens (human)
Lineage: Eukaryota; Metazoa; Chordata; Mammalia; Primates; Hominidae
Description: non-protein coding lnc-PLP1-1:1
Source: RNAcentral